GUGCUCCCCUCAGCAGCACAUAAACUAAGAUUGAAUGAUGCAGAGAAGAUUAGCGUGGCCCCUGCGCAAGGACGACACGCCAGUGCGUGAAGUGUUCCAUAUUUAA
RNAcentral lists this small nuclear RNA (106 nucleotides) under Propithecus coquereli (Coquerel's sifaka). Lineage: Eukaryota; Metazoa; Chordata; Mammalia; Primates; Indriidae. The record is from RNAcentral.